Vicia villosa (hairy vetch) is the source of this 475-nucleotide long non-coding RNA. RefSeq lists it as uncharacterized. The transcript is spliced from 3 exons. Lineage: Eukaryota; Viridiplantae; Streptophyta; Magnoliopsida; Fabales; Fabaceae. The record is from RefSeq and is a predicted model, not a curated record.
GGGUCUGAAUGUAAAGUGGAUGUGUGAACACCAAUCUGUGAUAACUUGACCGUCAUGCUGCACUCGGAAUUAGAAUGGACCGAAUGGCUUUGUGCUAUGGUGCUGAACGUUUUAUUUGACUGUAUGCUAAACUGAUGAUGUGAUUAUUUUGUAGUACAGUAAUGUGUUGUAUGGUAUGGAAGUGUAUGGACGUUACAAUGUGGAUAACCUGGAACUGUCAGCAGGUUUCAGAAUUGAUUGUUACAUGGUACAAAUGAACACAGGGCCUCAAAGAUGGAGAAGAAUUGAAGAUAUUAACAUGGGAGAUGGGUUUAGGACAACAAUAGAAGUCUUGGUCAGAGAGAUAAAAUUGGUUAAAUAACAGGUGCUGACUUUGGUCAACUGUUUUGACCAAAAAGUCAACAAUGGGUCAAAAAGUGAAUUUUUGUAAUGAUGUAUUGUAUUUGGAUUUUGUAAUGGAAUGGUUUUGAUGUAA